CAGCAGCCGCGGUAAUACGUAGGUGGCAAGCGUUAUCCGGAAUUAUUGGGCGUAAAGCGCGCGUAGGCGGUUUUUUAAGUCUGAUGUGAAAGCCCACGGCUCAACCGUGGAGGGUCAUUGGAAACUGGAAAACUUGAGUGCAGAAGAGGAAAGUGGAAUUCCAUGUGUAGCGGUGAAAUGCGCAGAGAUAUGGAGGAACACCAGUGGCGAAGGCGGCUUUCUGGUCUGUAACUGACGCUGAUGUGCGAAAGCGUGGGGAUCAAACAGGAUUAGAUACCCCAGUAGUCCCUGUCUCUUAUAC
RNAcentral lists this ribosomal RNA (301 nucleotides) under uncultured bacterium. RNAcentral describes it as "partial 16S ribosomal RNA". It matches the Rfam family "Bacterial small subunit ribosomal RNA", at positions 509 to 807 of the family's 1533-position model. The record is from RNAcentral.